UAGGAACAAUUCUGUCCGUCACUUUGGAUAAAAGUGUCAGCUAAAUGCCAUAAA
Regulatory RNA element from Astyanax mexicanus (Mexican tetra), 54 nucleotides. It matches the Rfam family "UnaL2 LINE 3' element". Rfam says of the family: The eel long interspersed element (LINE) UnaL2 and its partner short interspersed element (SINE) share a conserved 3' tail containing a stem-loop that is critical for their retrotransposition. The record is from Rfam. Lineage: Eukaryota; Metazoa; Chordata; Actinopteri; Characiformes; Acestrorhamphidae.